This 490-nucleotide ribosomal RNA is filed under the name uncultured bacterium. Its description in RNAcentral is "partial 16S ribosomal RNA". It matches the Rfam family "Bacterial small subunit ribosomal RNA", at positions 29 to 523 of the family's 1533-position model. The record is from RNAcentral.
AAUGAACGUUGGCGGCAUGGAUUAGGCAUGCAAGUCGAGCGAGAAGGGUUUUGAAGCUUGCUUUAGAACCCGGAAAGCGGCGAAAGGGAGAGUAACGAGUAGUUAUCUACCCCAAGGCCUGGAAUAGCUGCGGGAAACUGCAGGUAAUGCCGGAUAAUAUCCCCGGAUCAAAGGUGUGAUUCCGCCUUGGGAGGAGACUGCUUUGUACUAGCUUGUUGGUAGGGUAAUGGCCUACCAAGGCUACGAUGCAUAGCGGGCGUGAGAGCGUGGCCCGUCUCACUGGGACUGAAACACUGCCCAGACACCUACGGGUGGCUGCAGUCGAGAAUCUUCGGCAAUGGGCGAAAGCCUGACCGAGCGAUGCCGCGUGCGGGAUGAAGGCCCUCGGGUUGUAAACCGCUGUCGUAGAGGAGAAAGGUCUCGUGAAGAGCGAGAUUUGAUCUAUUCUAGGAGGAAGUCGGGGCUAAGUUCGUGCCAGCCGCCGCCGUAA